Molecule: ribosomal RNA, 433 nt
Filed under: uncultured bacterium
Lineage: Bacteria
Description: partial 16S ribosomal RNA
Rfam family: Bacterial small subunit ribosomal RNA
Source: RNAcentral
AACGAACGCUGGCGGCAUGCCUAACACAUGCAAGUCGAACGAGACCUUCGGGUCUAGUGGCGCACGGGUGCGUAACGCGGGGGAACCUGCCCUUAGGUUCGGAAUAACUCCCCGAAAGGGGUGCUAAUACCGGAUAAUGUCUUCGGACCAAAGAUUUAUCGCCUUUGGAUGGGCCCGCGUUGGAUUCGCUAGUUGGUAGGGUAAAAGCCUACCAAGGCGACGAUCCAUAGCUGGUCUGGGAGGAUGAUCAGCCACACUGGGACUGAGACACGGCCCAGACUCCUACGGGAGGCAGCAGUAGGGAAUAUUGGACAAUGGGCGAAAGCCUGAUCCAGCAAUGCCGGGUGAGUGAUGAAGGCCUUAGGGUUGUAAAGCUCUUUUACCCGGGAUGAUAAUGACAGUACCGGGAGAAUAAGCUCCGGCUAACUCCGUG